RNAcentral lists this ribosomal RNA (253 nucleotides) under uncultured bacterium. RNAcentral describes it as "partial 16S ribosomal RNA". It matches the Rfam family "Bacterial small subunit ribosomal RNA", at positions 524 to 776 of the family's 1533-position model. The record is from RNAcentral.
UACAGAGGGUGCGAGCGUUAAUCGGAAUUACUGGGCGUAAAGCGUGCGCAGGCGGCUUCGCAAGUCAGACGUGAAAUCCCCGGGCUUAACCUGGGAAUGGCGUUUGAAACUACGGAGCUGGAGUAUGGCAGAGGGGGGUGGAAUUCCACGUGUAGCGGUGAAAUGCGUAGAUAUGUGGAGGAACACCGAUGGCGAAGGCAGCCCCCUGGGCCAAUACUGACGCUCAUGCACGAAAGCGUGGGGAGCAAACAGG